Molecule: long non-coding RNA, 973 nt
Organism: Musa acuminata AAA Group (dessert banana)
Lineage: Eukaryota; Viridiplantae; Streptophyta; Magnoliopsida; Zingiberales; Musaceae
Exons: 2
Source: RefSeq, a predicted model, not a curated record
CCAGAGGAGGGGGACAAAGAACAGCCCUCUUUGCUCUACCAUACGGUAGAAAGUCUGCACAUCCUAUUUUAUUGAUAUUUGAUAAGACGGGACCAUUUUUCUGUGCAGUGUUAUCAUGACAUAGGUCUGUUAACUGGCAUUCUUCUAUACGGUAGUCUAGGAAGAAACCAAGGUGAGGAAUCUUAUCUAAUAUACUGCUCACUACCUUCCAUUUUAUGACAACCUGCUAUCGUUCCAUAAUUGCACACGUUUAAUGUAGUCGCUUGAUGAUUUUGACUAGAGAGAGAAGCUCUGAGAAUUCGUGGGGGGUGAUGGAGAAACCCCAUCGCCGUCAGCAUCUAGCUCUCCUGAAGCGUCGCUGGCUGUCACAGAGGCUCCCCAGUCGUCGGUCCCUCCGUCGGCUACUCCGUCUACUUUCGCGGCUCCCCACCUAGCUUCGCCCGCUAUUUCUAAGGUUCCCCGAUCUGCCGCCCUUUCGGUCGCUAGAGAAGAUGCUGGGGAGCGCAUGUCUCACAGUCAUCCGUCCGUUGGAGGCGCGGGGUAAUCGGCGCAGUUGAAUGCUACUAGAGCGGUGGCGCCUAACGGCGGUGAAACUGCUCAACCGAUUGCUGCUGGCGCGAGGGAAUCGGCACUGCCUUUCGGUCCUCUGUCCGCCGGGGGCACGGGAGAACCUCCUCAUCCGAUUGCUGCUGGCACGGUGGUGAAGGUGAAGACAUGCACUCCGAUGCAAAUACUGCACGUAGGAUGGCAUGUAGGGUAGGCCGUGGAUGGUGCUCCUGGGCGAUAUCUGUGGAGGGUGCAUCGGGAGGGAUUGCUUUGCUUUGGAACUGAUUCAUAUCCAGGUGCUCUCUUCUCAUACUGCCAUUAUGUAAGACGGGAGAAAUGACUCAUGAAUUUUUAUUAGGAUUUAUGCAGGUAUUUCUUUGUACAGUAGGAAUUUAUUAUGGAAUGACUUAGAAUCACUUGAUCUGCA